ACGAAGGGGGCUAGCGUUGUUCGGAUUUACUGGGCGUAAAGCGCACGUAGGCGGUUUGUUAAGUCAGGGGUGAAACCCCGGAGCUCAACUCCGGAACUGCCUUUGAUACUGGCAAGCUAGAGUCCGGAAGAGGUGAGUGGAACUCCUAGUGUAGAGGUGGAAUUCGUAGAUAUUAGGAAGAACACCAGUGGCGAAGGCGGCUCACUGGUCCGGUACUGACGCUGAGGUGCGAAAGCGUGGGGAGCAAACAGGA
RNAcentral lists this ribosomal RNA (253 nucleotides) under uncultured prokaryote. Its description in RNAcentral is "partial 16S ribosomal RNA". It matches the Rfam family "Bacterial small subunit ribosomal RNA", at positions 525 to 777 of the family's 1533-position model. The record is from RNAcentral.